Molecule: long non-coding RNA, 665 nt
Filed under: Marmota monax (woodchuck)
Lineage: Eukaryota; Metazoa; Chordata; Mammalia; Rodentia; Sciuridae
Source: RNAcentral
CGGCAAGGUAGAGGGAACUGUGACCACGCACAGAGCAGGCCCAGUGGCCUGCUGAGGGGCAGAGCCACCCCCCACCCCCGCGCCUGCCAGGUGACCACCGACAGAAAAGGCCCAGUGGCCCGCGGUGGGACAGAGCUUCCAAUCACUCCUGCAAGGUAGGCGGGCCUGCGACCCACCGGCAGAAGAGGAGCAGCGGCCUGCUGAGAGGCUGAGCCGCCCCCUCCCCCUGCGCCGGCAAGGUAGAGGGAACUGUGACCACGCACAGAGCAGGCCCAGCGGCCUGCUGAGGGGCAGAGCCGCCCCCCACCCCCCGCGCCUGCCAGGUAGGGGAACUGUGACCACGGACAGAAAAGGCCCAGUGGCCCGCGGUGGGACAGAGCUUCCAAUCACUCCUGCAAGGUAGGCGGGCCUGCGACCCACCGGCAGAAGAGGAGCAGCGGCCUGCUGAGAGGCUGAGCCGCCCCCUCCCCCUGCGCCGGCAAAGUAGAGGGAACUGUGACCACGCACAGAGCAGGCCCAGCGGCCUGCUGAGGGGCAGAGCCGCCCCCCACCCCCCGCGCCUGCCAGGUAGGGGAACUGUGACCACGGACAGAAAAGGCCCAGUGGCCCGCGGCGGGACAGAGCUUCCAAUCACUCCUGCAAGGUAGGCGGGCCUGCGACCCACC